CGGCGGACGGGUGAGUAACACGUGGGUAACCUGCCUGUAAGACUGGGAUAACUCCGGGAAACCGGGGCUAAUACCGGAUGGUUGUUUGAACCGCAUGGUUCAAACAUAAAAGGUGGCUUCGGCUACCACUUACAGAUGGACCCGCGGCGCAUUAGCUAGUUGGUGAGGUAACGGCUCACCAAGGCAACGAUGCGUAGCCGACCUGAGAGGGUGAUCGGCCACACUGGGACUGAGACACGGCCCAGACUCCUACGGGAGGCAGCAGUAGGGAAUCUUCCGCAAUGGACGAAAGUCUGACGGAGCAACGCCGCGUGAGUGAUGAAGGUUUUCGGAUCGUAAAGCUCUGUUGUUAGGGAAGAACAAGUACCGUUCGAAUAGGGCGGUACCUUGACGGUACCUAACCAGAAAGCCACGGCUAACUACGUGCCAGCAGCCGCGGUAAUACGUAGGUGGCAAGCGUUGUCCGGAAUUAUUGGGCGUAAAGGGCUCGCAGGCGGUUUCUUAAGUCUGAUGUGAAAGCCCCCGGCUCAACCGGGGAGGGUCAUUGGAAACUGGGGAACUUGAGUGCAGAAGAGGAGAGUGGAAUUCCACGUGU
This 595-nucleotide ribosomal RNA is filed under the name Bacillus subtilis. Its description in RNAcentral is "bacterial SSU rRNA". It matches the Rfam family "Bacterial small subunit ribosomal RNA", at positions 96 to 676 of the family's 1533-position model. The record is from RNAcentral. Lineage: Bacteria; Bacillati; Bacillota; Bacilli; Caryophanales; Bacillaceae.